RNAcentral lists this ribosomal RNA (631 nucleotides) under Brachybacterium sp. RNAcentral's name for it is "bacterial SSU rRNA". It matches the Rfam family "Bacterial small subunit ribosomal RNA", at positions 217 to 858 of the family's 1533-position model. The record is from RNAcentral. Lineage: Bacteria; Bacillati; Actinomycetota; Actinomycetes; Micrococcales; Dermabacteraceae.
GGUGGGGGAUGGACUCGCGGCCUAUCAGUUUGUUGGUGAGGUGAUGGCUCACCAAGACGAUGACGGGUAGCCGGCCUGAGAGGGCGACCGGCCACACUGGGACUGAGACACGGCCCAGACUCCUACGGGAGGCAGCAGUGGGGAAUAUUGCACAAUGGGCGAAAGCCUGAUGCAGCGACGCCGCGUGAGGGAUGACGGCCUUCGGGUUGUAAACCUCUUUCAGUAGGGAAGAAGCGAAAGUGACGGUACCUGCAGAAGAAGCGCCGGCUAACUACGUGCCAGCAGCCGCGGUAAUACGUAGGGCGCAAGCGUUGUCCGGAAUUAUUGGGCGUAAAGAGCUUGUAGGUGGCUUGUCGCGUCUGCCGUGAAAACCCGAGGCUCAACCUCGGGCGUGCGGUGGGUACGGGCAGGCUAGAGUGUGGUAGGGGAGACUGGAACUCCUGGUGUAGCGGUGAAAUGCGCAGAUAUCAGGAAGAACACCGAUGGCGAAGGCAGGUCUCUGGGCCAUUACUGACACUGAGAAGCGAAAGCAUGGGUAGCGAACAGGAUUAGAUACCCUGGUAGUCCAUGCCGUAAACGUUGGGCACUAGGUGUGGGGGACAUUCCACGUUUUCCGCGCCGUAGCUAACGC